This 3638-nucleotide long non-coding RNA is filed under the name Nicotiana benthamiana. RNAcentral describes it as "long non-coding RNA (NBEN_LNC016620)". The record is from RNAcentral. Lineage: Eukaryota; Viridiplantae; Streptophyta; Magnoliopsida; Solanales; Solanaceae.
AUCAUUGUCAUUACAUUGUUAUUGUUGUGAAACCACACAUAUUAUUUAGUCUUGUGAAGAAUCUUGUGGAUACACAUACCAUCAAGAACAAACUUGAAUGAAAGGAUUAAGGAGCAUUCUUCAAAAGGCAUAAGGACAAUCAUCAAAAAAAGGAGGUUCAACAAUUCCACAUAUGGAUUCAGGUUAGCUUCCGCUCAUGUAGUUUAAUUCCGGAUUAUUCAAUAUGAAGAUUGUUAUAUUUAGUCGGAAUCAUAAUUCUAACACUUCAAUCUGCUAUUGAACUCUAACCUCGACCUUGCUAUCUCAAACUAUGCUUGAGUAACAAAAUCGCUUCUGUUUUGGUUAAAACCAACAGAAAACUAAUUGACUGUUUGAAGCAAAAAUAAAAAAGCAAACUAGAAUGAAAGCCAAAUAAAUGGGUGAUGCUUCGAAUUGGAGCCCUACUUCAGCGAAAAUCAGCAGCUUAGACUUCGAGCAACACUAAACAAUCCAGUAGUAUUACUCAACAACAAAUUAGGUACAGUAAAAUUAUCAACAGUGGUCAAGCACGUGAAUGUUAGAGAUUUAAAGCAUCAAAGAAGCAGCAAAUACAACUACAAUAGCAGAUCCGGUGACGACGACUCUAUUCAAGGAAGUAGAUCCGAUCAUUGAUGUAUCUGCUCUAUUGUUUACGUCACAAACUGAUUUUGGAAAAAGCACUCUUUAACUAAAUAUAAUGAGAACAUUUAGCAAUAGGAGAGGGGCAACUUUAACCAAAAGAAAAAUAUCAUAUGCAGAGAAACAUCAGCUUUAUGAGGUUUAAAAGCAGGAAGAAUUUUAUUUGGAAAAAGGAGAGUUCAGUUCAGUUUCAACAUACGGUUCGCGGUUACAAUUAUCGCUCAUAUACAGCAGUUAUUGAAAAUUAUAUUUUUUAUUGGAAAGUUUCAAAAGGUCUUUGCUUAUCUUUUAUCUUUUCUGUAUUUAUUCUUCAAAUAUAAAAUGUUCUUAUUGAAUUUUGUUUGUUGUCUAUAUGAUGCAUCGAGAUUUUAUGAGUUAUGUCAUGAUUAAUAAUCAAAUAAAAAGAUACAUUAUUUAUUAGUAUUAAUUAUCAUUUUUUUAUGAUUCCAUUUUUGUGUUUGUGUAAGUUAAAACGGAAAAAGAAUUUGGAGCCUACUACUGGUUUAUUUAAAUAGAGGAAGAGGAAGAAGAAGAGGUAACAGUAGUGUAAAUAAAAUCUGACAUAAAAUUGUUUAAAUUGGAGAUAUACACAGAUAGUGGUCCUGUUGCUGACUCAGCUUCUUAUAAUUUGUGUUUCACAUUUACUACAAGUCAUUUACGUACUGUUCAUUUUAAGACCAUGUUUUACGUGUUUUGUUCCCUUUUAUUUUGACUGGAUAUAGAAACUACUAUGUGUUUGAAAGUUGAACUUUGUGGUUUGAAUUGACAUAAUCUAUUGAAAAGAGAAUUAAAUUUUGUACUUCUUUUAGUUUGAUUUCUCUUGUUUAUUUUAAAAAUGAAGUUUUAUUUAAGGGUGUUAAACGAGGCGGGUCAGCUCGGUUUUGGAUCUGCUAAGAUCGGUUAAAAUCGGAAUCGGCUCGGACCGGUUAAAGAGGCCUGGACUGGGUUAGGGGGGUCGCGCAGGUUGCUCCGUUUAAGUUUGAAAUAGGGGUUACUCGGACCGGUCCAACUCGUUACGUGAACAGUGAUUGUGAACCGGCCCGGCCCGAUACAAUUAAAAACUAUAAUAAAAAUAUAUAAAAAAAUAUAGAAAGAUGCAAAUUGAGAUAAUCUAUGACUAUUUAUGUAUGAGUAAGUUAAAAUAUAAAAUAAAACUAAAUAUUUUCUUAAGAUAUUAAAGAUUUAUUGACUUCAUAAAUUAAAAAAUUCAAGUGGUAAAAUAAGAUCUUACAUAAAGCAUACAAUUAUUUAUAAGAUAAGAAAAAACUUAAAUAUUUAAGUGGUAAAACAAGAUCUUACAUAAAGCAUACAAUUAUUUAUAAGAUAAGAAAAAACUUAAAUAUUUAUAUUUUCUACAUAUCAAGUAUGACAUUAAGCCAAAUGACAUAUUCAGAAAAUGUUACUUAGCAUUUUAAAGGCAUAAUCCAAAUAGAUUUUUAGACAAAUUUAAUAAGGAUUAAAACAAAAUACAACAACAACAACAACAACUACUACCCAGUAUAGUCCUACAAAGUGGGGUCUAGAGAGGGUAAUAUGUAGACGAGCCUUAAAUUUGAUAAAAUUUAAUUUAUGGUAGAAAUCAAUUAAAAAUGAAUCACAUUCUUAUAGUAAAUAAAUUUUGAUAUCUUUCAAAAUAUAAUUAUUCACUAACCACUUGAUCUGUUUCUUUCAUUUCAAAAUUUUAUUAUUUUUAGAAAUAGUACACAUAGAAAUAAAAUGAUAAUGAAAAUAUUAUCAUUAGACAUAAUAUGUUCAAGCAAAUAAGAAAUUAACUUUUAUGAUUAAUAUCUAUAUUGAGUGCAGUUUUGAAAGCAUAAGAUAAUUUUUAUAAAUGCAACGCAAUUAAAAAAUAGAAGGAUAUAACUUUUUUUAAUUUGAGAUAAAAAAUGCUUUCUUGAAAUAUAAUAAGAAAAAUCAUAUUUCAGAAUAUGAACAUUAGAUUCAAAUUAUUUUUGAUUUUUAUCUGUAUUAUACUAAAAUGUGGGUGGUAAAAAUAGAUAUAAAUUAAACAAGGUAAUUAAAGCCACAUAACAAUAUAAUAAUAUUAUGUGUAUUGAAUAAUAUAAUAGCAAAAAUAAGGAAUAAAUUGACAGAGAAAAAUUAAAGCUUUCAUCAUAAAGAAAAAUAAUAAAACUUAUUUAAAUUUGAGAUGAGAAAAUUGUUAUUUAUCUAUUAUGAUAAGGAAGAUCAUAUUGUGGGUAAUACCAUGCAACUUAUGUCUAACAAAUAAAAUAAGAACUUAAAAAAUAAUUGGAAAUAGUGUGAGAAGAUUUAUGCUAAGAAUUAGUUUAGAAAAUAAUAUAAAGCGAAAUAAAAUAAUUAAAAAGUACUUUUGAUAACUUUAAAUAACUUAAGAAUUCAAGCAAUAUUUUUAAAAUAAAAUAGAUAUUUAUUUUAAGAUUAAAAGUAUUCUAAAUUUAUUUAUAUUAUAUUAAAAGAUAGAAAUGAAUAAUAACACUAAAUAAAGUGAUGGAUUAAUUAAAAGCCAUAUGAAACUGUGAUAACACCAUAUAUCUUAUAACAUUAUAGCAAAAGUAAAAAAUAUUAAAUUUAAUAUUAGAAAUAAAAGGAAAAGACUAUUUUACUUAAUAUUAGAAAGUUCUUAAAAUUAUGAUGAGAAUGCUCAAACUGUGGAUAGGACAACCAAAAAUUAAAGUCUUACUAGAUAUAGAAUUAAAGUUUUAAAAAAUAUAAAAUAAAUAUCUAAUAUACUAGACAACAUGUGUCCCCCGGAUGCAUGAUAAAAAUUGACCUCCAGAAAGCGUAUGAUUCAGUUGAAUGGGUAUUUCUACAGCGACAACAUGUGUCCCCCAGAUGCAUGAUUAAAAUUGACCUCCAGAAAGCUUAUGACUCAGUUGAAUGGGUACUUCUACAGCAGGUUAUGGAACAGAUUGGCUUCCCCAGCACCUUCAUCAAAUGGAUAAUGGAAUGUAUCUCAACAGUGAGCUUCUCUGUGCUAGUCAAUGGAGAGGCAACUUAAC